CUUGCAUUAACUAGGCCCCCUCCUCUUACCUUAUGAUACCUCACCUGAGCUAAGAUAAAGUCCGUGUUUUCUUCACUUAAAACCACUCCUUCCAGGUAUGUGUCCUUUACAAUAAGCACUCCUCACUGGUUAAUGUGAUAUUUAGCACUUUUAACUAUCUGCAAUGCAAUAAACCACGUUUUUUUUGUGUGUGUGUGGGAACAGAUUAGGGUUAAGCUAGCCGUGUUAGCUUAAACACGGGGUCCCACGUGGGUCAAAUUCAACAAGAUAAUAGCACUGCUGUGGUCACUCUGUCAAUUCAGUUUGGAUUAAUUAUUGAGCAGAAACGUGGGUUUAUUGGAAAGCAAGUGUGCAGGGUUUCAGUGGGAUUGUUAAAUGCUGUAUAGCCACAUUGCUUUACAAACUGUCCAGGCUUCAUUUGAUAUUUUUGACCUAAGAUGGGUGCCUAUUUUGUGCAGAGUUGUGUUAUAAGUCUUGACCUUCCACUGUCGCAUGGGCUGCUUGGUAGUGAACAGACUUCCGCAGGUCAUUAUUUGUGAGGAUAAAGUACUACUUACUUACGAAAAUAAAGUUAUUAAUUUAUGUAAAGUUACCUGAUGUGGAGGAGAGUUGUUAAAAUGGGGGCUGUGGAGCAUAUAUGAAUUGUACUUCGGUAUAGGUUUCACAAACAUGGAGAUACUUAAUUCUUUGGUACAUCAGCAUGACAUUGUCAUGAGUAUCAGAACUUUAAAAAAAAUAAAUGAGAAAUGCAUCACAGGUGGACUUUGAAGGAAUCGCUGCUUUUGUGGAGGGAAAAUGGCUGGAAAUGGCUGUACAGAGGCUAAAUCUAUCAGCUGUUAAUAGCACAGGGCUUUAGUUUAUCAUAUAAGUCUAUAUGCCAUUAGGUGUUGUUACUGUCUUACAGUAAUCAUUGGGUCCGUCUUCUUUUUUAGUUUGACUAGAUAUCAAAAAUCUACUGGAUAUACAGCAAUGCUACUUUUUGAUUGGCUUUUUGGUAGAUUCGUUAUUUGAUUGGCCUGCGCAUGGCAUGCAGCUCCUGGACUCUUGCGGCAACUCACUUAAUUCCUACCUGUUCCAUUGUUAAAGAGGUGCAACUUGGUGGACGUCACCGUGGUCAUUUAAAUGCGUGAGAAAUACAAUGUGUGGUGUGUGAACGGGAGGGAAUGUGAAAGACUUGAGAGCCCUGCUUCCGUGUCAUUGAGUUGUAAGCAAUCCAACCGAAUAGUGAUUUUACGUCUUUGGAGAGGUAGAGAAGUGAUGUUUUUCUGUAUUUAAUGGAGAAAAAUCUGGAAAUCUGAAUCCUUUUUAGAAACAGAAUUAGGUUGGUUUUGUUUGGUUCAAGUAUCACCCCACGAUCCCCAGAGUGCAUCUUGGAAACGACUGUCCUGAUUAGUGAUAAAUCAUUUAAUGAACUGACUUGUACCUGAAGCACAAAUUUAUCGAUAGAAUUUGCUAAUGCGUCCAAUGUAGUAGACUCACAUUUCAAAUUUCUUACAAAUCUCUUUACUGUUUGAUCAGGUCUGUUUGUUUGGUAGUCAAGGGUAGGCGUAUGUUUGUUGUAGCGCCGGUUUAACAAAGAUAAUUACAUGCAGAUUUCAGUGGUUGUGCACUUAAUCCUAUAGUCUGUGUUAAAUCAAGCAGUAAAACUGUCUGGUACAAUUCAAACCACUGUGUUCAUGUAACAUAAAACUUAUUGAUAAGACUCUUACCCAGAGUCAACACUGGGCCGAGACUGUAAUGUGUACUGAACUGGCAAAUAGUGUCACAUUGCAAUGAAUCAAUGAGUGGCAACGACAGAGGGAGAAGGGUGGAAGGCUCUCCAUUACAUGCGGAAAAUGUGAGAUAUGCUAUGUUGGGGAUAAAUGUUGGGGGUAAAUUGGAUAAAUAUUGUAAUUUUUAACUUAGCCACAUCUGAUUGUGUGGUUAAAGUAAUUCCUGAGCACUUCUGCUUUUUCUGUCGAACCAGCCAUGUUACACUUAUCCUAAUUGGUUCAUUUUCUUGUGCAAAUACCCAAAAGUCAUCUCUGUGUGAUUAAGUCCAUGUUUUUACUCUGAUCAGUGCAUUUGUAACAAGUUCAACCUGACAGGAAAAAGUGGUUCACACACAGCCAUGAGUUAAAAACAGUGUAACGGUUAAGCUCCAUUGAAAGUGAAUUGCCUGAGAAUAACUUUUUAAAUAUUUGUUUUCCAGUAUUUAUGGGCCUUGUGUUGUAUUUAGAAAUAAGUACACGUUUUAAGUAUUUUGAACAUUUUGAACAAGUUGAACUGCAUCUCCUGCCGUAUCUCCUCUCACUCAACCCCCCUGGUAGGUCUUUACAUCCCAUCUUCCACAUCAUUAGGUUCCCUUGGUGCGCAUAGUUCCAUCUGUGCUUAGCUGAAUGUUGACCACAGAGCGAUCAUGCAACACGAUUCAAUCAUUUAAAACCUCAACAUCCAUCAUCUCACGUAUGUUCACUCUUGCAGCUCAUCCUCCUCAGAACAGUACAUCAUGAUCGACAGACUGGUUUACAUGUUGCACUGAUCUGUUGCUCUGUUCAUGUGCACCGCAUAUCUCAGCUUGAGGACAACACAGGGAAAGGAACAACAGAUCCAGCAGAUUUUAAUGGGAAAAUGUUUUUUGUGUGCUCGUGGUUCUCUGCUGUCAAAUAUGGUUACUCUUUUGUGGGCGGCAGUAAACAUUCCCUUGUUCCUAUUCCUGUUUAACCCCCCGUGACUGACUUGAGUGAUUGUGGAAAUUGGCAGAUAUUCCCACAUUGUACAGAGAAAGAAAAUAUUGUCAUUUCUUGAAAAAUUCAUUUGACUUCUCAAAACAGUUAAUCUAAGUUCAGGCUUUUUAUUUACUAUAAGUAAACUGAUACUGUGGGUUAGUUUAUCUGUUUUUCUACCCCUUGGGUGUGUUUUUUUGUCUGGGAAAUACUAUAUACAAGCCAGAGUGACCCUGACCUUUAUUUUAUGUACAGUACAUAGCUGCAUUCCCCUGACAAGGCUGAAUUUUUUACUGUAUUGGUGGUUAGAGUUACAGGAUGACACAGCAUGAUUUUCAUGGUCAAGAACAGCUGCCAACAGUUGUCUUAUUACCUCGCCUUUGUGCUCUGCAGGUACACUCCCUGCAGAAACAUGCUUGGAUACAGCAUGUUCCCUUUCAUGUUGCUGUGCUUGGUCAGCCUUAACACAAAGCUGCUGUUGGUCCUGUAAGUUUUCAUCAGUUGUAUGUCUGCUUGUGUAACUUUGAUUCAGUCAGGCAGGCAGCAAAAAAGGAAAAAAAAGAAAACCUGGUGGUGCAAUGGUGGAAUGGAAAAAGUUAAGAAGACGUACAGGGACAGUGAUUUUAUUAAACUAACAAUCCAGACUCGCAUUUCAGGCAAAAAGAGAUGAGCUACAGUACAAAACAGUUAAGUCAACACGAUUAAGUCUAUCAAAAGUCCUUUUUCUAAAGUAUUCCAGACAUCUGCCAUAAAAAAAGUCCUAGCCACACAAGAUAUUGAUCUUAAAUAGUAAAUUUAGACACUCCACAGCUUCAUCUGAUCACUGAAACAAAAGGCUUUGAGAAACUUUCAAUAGAUGCUCAAAUUUAGCUUUCAUGCAUACAUAUUUUGCUGUGAAAUUAAUUUGUCUAGGACCUCAGCAUCUAAAAACCCUAAUGUAACAUAUGAUGAUUCAGAUUUAAAUUUACUCUGUUGAUCUCUCCAGUAGUCCAGUAUUCAGAAAAGGUCAGUACAAUCCUAUUAGUCCUGAGCAAUCUCAAAUAUUGUCACCCUAUUAAAAUAAUGGCAUUUAGCCAAUAAAGUAAUUUUUUUUUUUUUUUUUUUACAAAAAUGAGUUUUUGGCCUAAAUCAUCUCUUGAUAAUGCUGGCCAUCUCUGGUAAAAUCACCUAAAUCCUUAGUUGAAAGGAUCAUGGCAUGGCAUCAGGCCAAAAACUCAUUUUGAUCAAAAAUUGACUUCGGCCAUUAUUUUAGUAGGUUGAUGAUAUGAUGAGGACUAGAACAAAGCACAGACAGUAAAAAGCCUUUCAUUUGCCAUUACUGGAGAUCUCCCAGUUUACUGUUUCUUACAAACCACCAAACUGUGUUAAAUACUUGAUUCUGAUUGGUCAAUGCACCUUGACGAUCACUCAUUCUGAAUAGCAAAGGCAGACUUUCAGGUUAUUGAUAAAAUUAUGACUUUGUUUCACCUCCCAUCAGAUCUUUUAGGUUAAUGAGUGUGUUCGUCGUAGCCACAGGACAGUGAGGUGAUUAUGGAUUAACGUUAGACCGCGAGCUGCAGCGAGCCUGAAGCCUGUUUAGUUUUCUGCAGAGCUGUUCCCUAGGAGAAGAGAGACCUCCAUCAGCAGAGUAAGUUCACUGCCGCACCAAGCAUCUUUUUAAGGACGCUUGCAAUGUUCUUUAAGUGUUACCUGCAUUUGGCCUGCCACAUAGCAGCCUGUACUGUUAAGCAAGGUGCUUGUGUUUUUACUCCAGCCAACCAAUCAUAGGCAUGGAGAUGGACCAGUUACCAAGGUAACCAGAAAAAUAAAUGCUUUUUAGUCGAUCAUCACAGAGACAGAUGCUCAUUUUUGUGUUGGUUUGCCUGUUUCUUGCUGCUGAGUGUUGUGUUAGUCACUGUUUGACUUCUUUUGUGAGCAAUCAUUUAUCUGCAACAAGUGUGCAUGGGUGAAAGUUACCCCCGCCUACAUUCAUCUUUUUUAUAGGGUGGUUGUCAACUGGUGCAUGUUGGUAAGAAAUCAUUGAUACAAGGUAAGGGGCCACAACUAGCCAGUCAUGAGCUAGCAUAUUAUGAGCCUCACAAAGCUGUUCAGCCUGUUUGAUGAGAAAGAAGAAAAAAGACCCGUGGACAAUUUUUUGUAUCACCACAUCAAACAAAACACAGAGAAUCAUUUCUGGUGAAGGAGUUCCUUGUGGAAACAAGAUGACCCAAAUGAGAAGACAUCUGAUGAAGAAGCACUCUGCAUUGUCUGCCCAGGUAAAUCAAUAACAUAAACUGAUUUGAUCAUAUGAAUGUAAGUGAAGUCUCUAAAUUUAGUGUAAAAAAACCCAGAUCAUUUUCUGGGACAAAUCUUCUACUAUCAUUUUACAUUUAUGUGACAUUUUUAGAUGAGGCAGCACAAUUUGACAGACGCUGGUUCGCGUUUAGCAUGAUUCCUUAACCAAUCCUUUGAGCCCAGUUGCUUUAUCGUAGAUAUUUAUCUUCUCCUUCUAAACGAUUUAUGAUUUUUAAAACCAGUGUAGAUGGUUAGAUGAUGUUCAUCUUUAGAGCCUACACAGAAGUAUUUUUCACUGCUCUAUAAAAUCAGGAAUCUGCAAAGAGAAGCAUUGUGUUGAGUUUAGAAGUAGAUCUCAGAAAAGUAAAAGGUCUGUGUUGUAAGAUAAUCAAGAGUUAUCCUUGUGUGAUAUACUGUAUGUGACUGCUGGAUGGUGCUCUGACAAAAAAAUAGCUGAACUGACACUGCUGUCUGACUGGGUUUUAACACAAAAACCACUGAGUUUGAAAAACAUUGUGGUUUUGUCUGCUAGAGACAUAUAAGGGUAAAUAUGUAUGUGUCUUAACAGCUGACGCUCAGACACUAAGCCACAUGCUCAGUGUCUGAGUGUCAGCUGUUAAGUGGGACAAAUUUCAUGAAACUUUGUCAGUUGGCAGUGGAAAUAACUGAUUUAUGUCUUUCAGAUUCCAGAGACUGAACACGUACAACAGAAAACAUGCAGAGGCAGCAGACAACCAUUCAAAAUAUACUGUACUUGGGAUCAAAGUGCCAUCUAGAUGGGAAAGAUCAGAUGACCAAAAAGAACCCUCUCCAUGUGGAUAAGUCAUCCUGGUCUGCAAGCUCAGGCAACGGGGGACAUUGAUAUUAUCAAAAUGAUGGAGGUGGUGGACUACACCAUAAAGAGCACAUAUUGCUCCGCCUAGAACAGACCUCAUAACCAUAUACUGCCAGGUCUGUUAACGCUUGUGUUGACCAUUCCACUGAAAUGUGGGGAAUGCCACAUUUGAUGAUAAGAUCAUUGCAGUCAUUAAGGUUUAUGGGAGCAACAUGGUUGCUGCAUUUAAACCACAAGAGGAAGAGGAGAUGAUGGUGGUGAGAGAAAGCAUUUGAAUUAGGACAAAAUGAGGUAAGACCACGAUUGAGUUAUUUAAUGUCAAAUAAUAUUAUUGUGACUAAAAUACAUGGUCAACUCCAAACACACAAACCUUUUACAUCAUAAACGUUGGAUUCUUUUGUCCCCAUACUGUAAUACAAUAUUCUUGAAGUAAUUAACUGGUCUUUUUUUAAUUUACUUUUUGUAGCAUAUGGAUUAAAACAUAUCGGCCCUCAUUUAUCAAUCGUGUAGAACCCAGGAUUCAUCGUUCAAUAGGACACACGUGAGAUUUAUGAAAGGGCUCGUAUCUGACCAAUUGCUGCAUACGAUUGAUCAGGUCUUGAUAGAUGCGGCGGCUGAAAUCGAUCGUCAUUAACAGGUCAUGCCCUGGUUCAGAAGCCUCGCCCACCGAGGUCAAAUAUGAAGGAGGAAAAAUAUUAGAAAGAUGCGAAACUUUUCCAAGCUGAAAGUGGAUAUCCUCAUGUCUGUGGUGGAAACUAAGAAGGACGUGCUCUUUGGAAGCAGCAAAACUGGUACAAACUGGCUUAAAAGCAGUCCAGAAAAACCCUGUCUGGAGACGGUGGCGGUGAACAGCGUUGCCGCAGAUUAGCGGACACCGGCUGAAGUUUGAAUAAAUCAUUGGUCACCAAGUUGUCCAUGAUGAUAAAUUAAUAUCUCAUGCAUACCUCAUAUUCUAUUGUUGCCAUAACAAAGUCUAUGUUGCUCCUGUUAUUGAAAGUAUUUAGUUUUAAUUUGUUGCUGCUUUAUAAUGUAGAGCAGACUGGAGAUUCCAACUGAGGCUUAACAAAAUAAUUAUUAACGUCAUAGACUGUAUAUAGAAUAGAUGUCGUCUGCCUCCCCGCUGUGUGAAGCCACUGCGAGAACAGCACCCUCUGGUGACGGGCUGCAGUAUAGGUCAUAAAUAACAUCAUUUUUGACUGUAUUUAUAGCUAAAUAGAUGACAAGAACACCAUUUCCCCCAGCCUGUAUAACACCUGCGCCCCGUAAUAAUUUUUAGAUAUGUAUCUUUCUUGGGUAAAAUAAUUACGUAUUGUCCUUUUUAGUUUGGGAGUUUCUAGAUUUCCAUUGAAAAAGUAAUCAAAUUAUCUAAAUGUCAUUUCUCUGUCUAUUUCUCAGCUAUAACAGACACUUUGCUUUAUUCCCACAUUGCAGUAGGUUGUUAGCGGGAUCCAGAGAAGUCUAUGUGACACGUCUCCUGGACAAAGUGGAGGUAGUUGUCGAACUGAUUCACUUCAGUUUCAAAAGAGAAACUUUGCCAGCUCAGUGGACUCCCUCUUAUUAAAGACUAUACGACAAGAUGAGCCAGCACUCUCAACCAGAUGAUUUCCUCUGCGGGGAAAGAUAUGGGGGCCGAUGGGAUGGUUUGGAUUGUCUCCUGCCAAGUGGAUAUGUCAAGAAGACUGCAGUCCUGGAACUCCUGCUGCCCUUUUGCUGAGAAUACAAAACACUUCAAAGUGACACAGUGUUCCUGUCUUUGAUUGUCCCUGCUCCUCUGACUUUAUCCCUCACCUGUUCUCUCCCAGAAAUCAGCACACAGUGGCCUGUGUGGACUGACAGAUGAAAUGAAAGUUAACCUUGAAGAGCACUUCAGCUGCUUUCUUUGUCCUCGUGCAGCAAAGUUCCCCCCUCUUGCAGUUGCUGGAGAUAUUCUCAUUGAAAACACAGAUAAUGGGAUCCAAGAAGUUUUGACCGAAGCAGAAAAAAGGGUCUUCAGUGUAAUCACAUCCACACCACAAAGAGAUUUGAAUAACCGGUAAAGGAUAAAGGAUGUUGAGGAAAUGUCCUCUUCAGAGCACCUGUAAUUUAGGUUUUCAUCCAUCAAGCACAAGGGACAGCAAAUAAGAGUUGACAAUCUCUAUAGCAUGUCCUGUGCCACUCACAACAGUGUUGUGUCGUUCGCAAAUGAUUUUUCGCAGCUGCCAUAGCAUGCAGAAUUGCCGGACGAGCAGCUGGCGAGCAAGGGACCAACGCCUGAAUCACUUGGUGAAUGCAUCACUCAGUAAACUACACUCUCAGGAAUCAUUUUCGUAUGAGUGAUUCACUAUCAUGGCGACCGUUGUUCCCCGUUGUUUUAACAGAUUUAGUUCCCAAUUAACCAAACUUAAAACGUUAGGCUAGCAGUAAUGAGAAGAGAGUGAGACUUACCAGCUGUAGAAAGCUCUUUACAGGAGCGUCGGCGGGAGAUAGGGGUGUAUUGUGUUUAAAUGUACCUCGGAGAAAACAAACUUUUUUUGUUUUGAUAAAUUGCCACCACAUCAACGUGCAUGCAGUAGGACACGGCAUGCAACAAGUAGCGUAUAAAACCCUCAGUUUGAGAAAAUGCGUGACUGUCUAAUCCUAUCAUUGCGGCGAUUCGCCAAUGUUCAAUCCUUCACUGAAUGUACUGUUCGGUAUACGUUCAGUGAACGAAUCGCUCACUGAACCCAGUUUACCAAGUAGACCAUAUAUAUACAGUACAGGCCAAAAGUUUGGACACACCUUCUCAUUCAAUGCAUUUUCUUUGUUUUCAUUACUAUUUAAAUUGUAGAUUCUCAAAACUAUGAAUGAACACAUGUGGAAUCAUGUGCUUAAGAAAAAAGUGUGAAAUAACUGAAAACAUGUUUUAUAUUUUAGAUUUCUCAAAGUAGCCACCCUUUGCUUUUUUGAUAGCGCUGCAAACUUUAGCUGUUCUCUCAAUGAGCUUUAUGAGGUAGUCACCUGAAAUGGUUUUUACUUUACAGGAGUGCCUGAAGUAACCCUGACAAGGUACUUCUGUCAUCAAGACCAAAGGAUGGCUAUUUUAAAGAAACUAGAAUAUAAAACAUGUUUUCGGUUAUUUCACACUUUUUUUAUAAGUACAAAAUUCCACAUGUGUUCAUUCAUAGUUUUGAUGCCUUCAGUGAUAAUCUACAAUGUAAAUAUUCAUAUAAAAAAAUAAAGAAAAGACAUUGAAUGAGAAGGUGUGUCCAAACUUUUGGCCUGUACUGUAUAUAGUUGAACUGUUUAGCUGUGUUCAGGAAGUCGGAGUCACAGGCUCCUCCUGCCAAGUGCUGAAUGAUUCUGUGAUUCAGUGAAUGAAUCUUUUGAACGAAUCUUUUUAGUGAACUGAUUCUAGUGAUUCAGUACAUCUAAAAGAACUCACAAAAGCACUCUGCUUUUGGAGCACCUGUUAAAGGCAGUUGAGAAAGGGCAGCACGUGUCCAAUGACCAUAAAAAUGUCUAAUUGAUUGAUAUGAAAGGAGCAGUUAUGACAGAUAGACACUCCAAAGAGCUAAGAAAAAAAAAGUCAAUUUCCUCCUCUGGGUUAUAUUGCUGUACAAUGGGCCAUUAAGAGGCGUGUGAUAAAAUCUUGGCAGAGCAUAAAACUUUAAAUAUGCAUGGUGCGAAUUGAUGUAGCGUGCUUAUGAGUGAAAAUUGUGUUAUUAACGUUGAAAAUUAGAUGUAAGUAGAAUAAGCUUCAAAAGGCAGUCAUUGGCCCCAUUUGCUGAGGAGUUGUGCAAACAUCCAGGUGUCUAUUUCUAAUCGGAGGGACAUGUGGGAUGAGUCAGCCCUCUCCUCUGCUAUCUCAAACUUGGCUCUGUGAGACAUUCCCAGUAUUAACCAGAGGGUACCGAGGAAGCUGUCAGGAGAUGUUAGGGUCUGAUCACUCACUACAGACAAGAAUUUAGACCCAGUGGGAAACAGAUGAGCAAAGAGACACAGUGGCGGAUGAUGGAGAGCCUAAGUGUUCCUGGCAGGUUAAUAUCUCCAUUAGUAAGCCAUAGAUCGAUCACCAGUGGAAAUAAUAGGUUUACAGAAAAAAAAUCUGUGUAUUUGUGUCCUGUAGGUGAAAAGAAAAUUUGAUCACUUUACUUUUGCAGGCAAAUUAAAAAUUUCAGGCUAUUUUUAACUCACUUUUCCUGCCCCUGAACUAAAUCUACAUGUGUACACACAGUGAGCAUAUUUAAAGAAAAUUCCCAUAUUUGAUCCAAACUAAUAGAUCCAUGUGAGCUUUGAAAAUUCAGCUGAUUUCUGGUGUGAAUUGGAUGUGAUUAAGUUUUGGUUGAUAUAAUAAAAAUAGCACCAUCAUUUCCUUGAACUAAUCAUACAAAAUAGACCCAGUAGUGAAAUGGUGUUGACACCAAGCAUUGGGUUUGUACUUUGAUAACCAAAGUAAUCCAAUUUUAAUGGCAGGUGUCAGCCUGGGGAGUUUACCUCAAUAAUUACAGUAUACAGCACAAGCUAAUGCUAUUAUUUAGUAUUGCAUUCAUGCCUUGGGAACAAAUAGGCACAGUCCAGUGGCAUUACACGUGUUUGCUAAAUGUCAGUGACGGCAUUGAUGGCAGAUGAUUUUGAAACACAAUGCACAUUUACUGAUGAACAUUUUUUAAUUGGCAGGGCCAGUGCCUCUUCCUCUGAAUCAUACCGUGACGACUUAAGCAAAGGGUCUGGUUGUACAAUCGUGGUUGUCAGAUGAGCCAUUGCUCUGUUCUAUCAGUCGGCCUCCUCUUAAUCUCCUUCAGAUGAGUUAAGGUGAUAACUUCCUAAUUUGCAGUUACCCCACUGGUAUCAUAAACUGUAUUGUGUUACAUCGUGAUGGUGGGAUCUCACAGUAUGAGAACUGACAUUUCUACAUCUGUUGGACAUAUAUCUGGAAUUUCUGCCCUGCAAGCAUAAGGUCCAUUGGGUGUAUUAUGUAAAUGGUCAGGAGCAGCAUACAUUUAGAUUUGAUGUGGAUAAAGUUCCUGAAAUCUCAUGAAUAGCCUGAAGCUUUGUCCCUGAUCUACACUACUGAAAGCUUGUCAGCAUUGAUUUCAUGGUUAUCAGUUAAAUAUGAAUUACAGAUGUACAGUCUUUUUUCUGGGAUGCGGUAUUUUACAUCUAAAACACUGUUGCAGGGGGUCGUUUGUUUGUUUGUUUAGCCUCUGCUCUUCCUGUGGACCGAGUGGUCGGCCAUUGUGCACAGUGGCAUCAAUCAACAAGAGUCUCCUGGGUAAUCCUGACCUCGUCUAAGGAGGAAAAAAUGUAACAAGUGUACUUUGGAUUUGUACUUUGAACCAUUUGGAAUAAAUGCAGGAAGUUUUUGUACACAUAGCUUGGCUUGUCUGCCACAUGGGUGAUGUGGCUCCAUGUACAGCGUCCUCAUUCUCUCAGUAAGUUUGCCUAGACAACCUGAUCCUAUUCAGUUGUCUGAAGAACUCUUUGAAUCUCAAAUGAAUGUUUUAAUUUUCCCCUUCCAUUAUGUUAGUUGGGAACAGUAGCUUUGCAUGAUUUGUAGCUCAAAAUACUUCUUAUUUAUUAAGUUAUAUCUUUACAGAAAUUUCAGCCACAAUAACACGUUUCAUUAUUAGCUGCUGCCAUGUUAAAUUACAGUCUUUAUCACAUCCUCAUUAGGUUCUUAUUACACUUGAUGAAAGUAUUUAUCACACCUGAGAAAAGCCUUCAGUGCAUCAUUUUCAAGUUCUAUACAAAGCCCUUGGAAAAGCCUCAUAAUUUUUUUUAUUACACCUCUAUUACACCUUUUAUAAAUCUUUAAUGACACCCUUUGUAAGACCAUUUUUACACCCUUUAUGAAGUCUUUAUCAUACCCUAGAUAAAACAUAAACAACACCCCUUAUUUAAUCUUUAUUACACUCUUUGUGUAGACUUUAGCAUUUCCUACAUAAGACCUUCAUAACACCCUUUAUAAAGCCUUUAUUGCACCUUUUUGAAGGCUUAACAACAUCUAUAAAGUCUUUGUAAUACCAUUUUAAAAGCCCCCAUAAUCACCCUUUAUAACGGCCAUUAAAGAGCAGAAUUAAAACUGGUACAAGAUGUUGUCGCACAUUUUUUGUCUCCGUAUUGCCACAUACAGUAUAUUACUACUUUGAAAAAAAACAACCUUAAAGUUUUUUUACAUUCCUCCUGGUGAAAACUUUAUUACACCUUUUACUUAACCUUCAUAACACCCCUUAAUGUCACCCUAUACCAAGCCGUAACUAAGCCUUUAUCACACGAAUAACUCAGCCUUAUUACACUAUUGAUUCAUACUGGAUUUUGCACUCUUAAUGAAGCCUUUAUUUCACUCAUAAUUAAGGUUUUAUUAAACCAUUAUAACCCCUUUUAUUAAUCCUUCAUUACACUCUUGAUUAAAUCUAAUUAAAGGCAUUCCAAGAUUUUCUUUUGGCAUUUUUGUCUCAAGACUCUGUUAAUUUCUAACAACUCUAACCUAAUUUCUAACGUUUGCAGAUGUUCCUGUGAUACCCUCACCAGUAAAGGCAGCUUGUUAACUUCUGAUAGUUCGUUGAAGUAGUUUGCAAGGCCUAAGAAGCUCAAAAUUUGAAAAGGUAUGCUGCAGGGGUCAAGCUUAAAAACAGUACACUUUGUCAGAAAGUUAAAAUGUGUUUAUAUAAGUAUCGUGCUCUGAUUGCAGACAGAUAUAUCUUACACUGUUUGUUUGACUAUCCCAUGCUUUAUGCGCCCCACUUCCCAACAUUAAAAGCAUAGCUCAGUCCUCCUUCAUGUUCAAUUUUCCACAGCUGCAGUAAACCAACUCAAGCACUCAAAGUAAGUUUUUUUCAUUAUGCAUACAGUGAUUGCCUCUGAAGCCUUUGAAAGCCACUUGGAUGUUUUCCUAUAGGCCUUACUGGUCAUGGUUGUGAUCACAUAUCAUGUCAGGGCCCAUUCUUGGGCAAAAACUCAAUACGCGACUGAGAGGACCAGCUCAGCCUGAUGGGGGAUAAGAAAUAAUGAGGAUCUGAAGUAUCAAAUUACAGCUAAAUAACCAUACAGUGGUAAUCCUUUCAAACAGUUUGUCCUACUCAGCUUGUAAAUAUUUAGAAUCUGUCACAUGAAACUGGAGGCAAAAACUGUGACAGAGUUUUCCCUUUACUCCUCAGAUCCUUAAUGUGAGUCAAAAAUGUAAACUCCUUCGGUGGAAACAGCCACAAACACUUUCUAGAUUUACCCCAGAAAAGACUUAAUCUGACUCAAAGCUCCUGAGAUGUUGUUUGUAGCUGGUUUGGCAGGUAACACACUGAGUCAGUUCCAUUGUUGUGAGUUAUCUACACUUUUUGACGGCAAGGACAAACUGUCUUGUGGAAAGGAAAAAUUCUCAUUUGUCUUUCUGGUUUCAUUGUCAGAAUUAUUAUUUUUUUACUAAAGUUGUCUGGAUUGAUCCUCAGAGGUGCAAAAAUGUAUCUUUUCACCCCAAAUGGACAAAUUGUUUGUAUAUGCAAAAUUUAAAGGCUGUUUCACAACCUGUCUUAUCAGUGGUGUUCUCUGAAAGUAACAGUGGAGAUAAAAUUUGAUUGAUUUCUCUGAAAGUAUUUCACCCAAAUGUGGUAAUGAUUAGCCCUAGAGCUUGGGGUGGUGCUGCUCGGGGUCAAAUUUUGUUUUCUCAAAUCUGAGGCAGAACUGGAAAAGCUGAUUAAAUUUGUUUACUUACUGAAAUGACCAGGGAUCUGCUGGGAAGAGACUGAAAAACACGAUAGAAGAACUAUAUAUAUCUUUCCUUUUUUUUUUUUUUAGUGGAAGGAGUGGAUGUUAGCUCGGGGGGUUAUGUAAAUGAAAGGUUUUGGAUUUUCUGUGAUGCAGGUUGGGAGGAAAGCAUCCUGUCAGUUUGUUUGUGAAAAGUUGUAUUACACAAAAAUGUUCAUUAAAAAACUCAACCCAACAUUGACAAAGAUAAAACCAGGGUAAUUUACUUCAAUAUCUUAAACAUGAAUGUCAGGUUUUGUCAUAAAACAGUCCUAGUGGCAAAUACAAAGAUAGUUGCAGCUAGCAGGUGAAUUAGCGAACAAAUCUGUACUUUUUAAUAGUUUGCAAUCACAGGAGACACACAGUGUGACACUAUUACUCAACAGAGAAGUGUAGAACUGUCUUCACUAGUCUUUCUCUGUCUUCCUUAUCAGUGAAUACCUUUUAUGUUCUUGCAUAACAACGCAGAGACCAUCAUCAAGGUUGACAAGCGAUGUUAACAAGCAUAGAUUCCCGUGUUAGCUGUGCUGCAUUCAUGCUCUCUAAUUUCGUCAGAUAAAUCUUUUGUAGACCAGUUCUUCUCUGCCAAUGCCAAACAGCUUAUUUUGCUGCUGCUACUGACUGUUAUUUGUACCCCCGGGUGCUGACAAUCAGUUGCCUGAUUGACACCCGAUCUGAUUACCUGGUCUGGAUAGGGCUCAUGCGAUAGGGCAGCUUUAUACUGGUGUUACAGAAAACCAAGUUGCACUGCUGUCUGCAAUACGUGCACUGGAGUCUGACCAUGUGGAGGAGCCCUAUGUUAAGCGAUUCUGCUGAUUCUGCCUAGCAGCAGGAUCAUGGGCUCAAAGUAUGGGGAGACGUGGAAAAUGCUAUGCUGAUUGGAGAACCAAUAGAGUAACAUUUUUUGGGGUGAGGCAGUGUGAUGGUGUGAGGUUUUAUCUCUCUCUCUCUUGAAAAGCAAGGCUUGUCAUCAUGAAGUAGUUUUAAUGAAGAGAGAUGUUGAGAUUCUGCCAUCAGUGGCAAUCUCGUAUCUCAACAGUCAUGAAGUGAAGUCUAUCCUCUAAGAUGACUCAGUUUACGCCCACAGAACAGGGUUCAGCAGACAUCACCUGCAUGGGAAUGCUGUUCAUGCCAGAGUGAAUGGGAUGCCAUCCCAGAGCAGUGUAUGACGAUUUUGUGUCACAUGGACUUACUGAGUUAGAAGUGCGUAAAAGACACUCAGUCUGACCCAAAAAACUCUAAAUUAACUUUCUGCUACUCCGUGACUCCACCCCUGCAUAGUCAUGUCCUCUUUUUGGGAAGUCAGAAUGUGGUCACCCUAUACAUGCACCUUAAGUUACUGUUUCUUAAACAAAUAAAUUUUUAAUUUUCUAAUAUGUCCUGUUUUUUCAAGCUUUAAUGAUUUAAUCCACCAAACAACAGUAUAUCUUAAAAACUUACAAAUCAUCCCUCAAAAUAUUCUUCCUGAUUUUCUUAUUUGCUUUCGUAGCUCAUGUAUUAGCAUAACUAGCAAAGUUUUAGCCUGUUUCAUAACCGUCUGUUUGUCUAGUGAUUCUCCUUUCUGCACCUUCCCCUUUCCUUAAGUCCAUAUAGUCACAAUGAUUGGCUGUUUUUCAGUAAGUCAUCUUCUUUUCAAGGUUUCUUUAAGGUUUUUUUUCCUGCUUCUGUUGCCAAAUGUUUCCAAGUUUCCAAUUUUUUUUGCACUCUGCCAUGAAGAAAAGAGAACUUUUCAAUUUAGCCCUGCAACAUUACAGUCUGCCCAGCAAUCCAAAUGUGUGUAAUUAAAUAGAAAAUAUAUCCACCAUAACACAGAAUACAAAGUGAUUGUGGGGGCUGGUAUCCUCCUGAAGUCUCUCCAAUCAGUAUCCAAACUUUGAUUUCUUCUGUUUGUUACUAUUUUAUUGCGUUAAAGCCUGUAACAAGCUCUCAUUUUGUCUUUCUUGUAUGAUGCAAUGUUAAGACUCAGGGAGAAAAUCAAGGGUUGAUGAGGAAAAACUGUAACUUAAUCAUGUGGACGUUUGUUCAGAACAUCUUUUGCUCAUACUUGAUUUGUAGACAAGAAAAACAAAUGUUUCUGCCUUUAUGAUGGCAGACAAUGACAAACAAACGAGCCAUCAAUUGAAUUACCUUUUAUUUUAAUUAGGUAUUAUUAUGCCUAUAUCAUUACCACCAUAUCUUUUCAUCUGUACUCGAGAUGAGACAGCAUAGUCAGCAUCCACAGGACAAGAUUUGUGCUCACUUAAGCCGUAAUGUAUUGAAAGAGGGAUAGCUAAUGCUGGAACAGGAUGUCUGGCCUGAGGCAUUAGGCUAGCAGGCCACAUUAGGAACUCUUUAUAUAACUUUAUUGUUAUUAAAUGUUUGACAAACACUGGUUGACAAAUUGUCAUCGGGAAUAGAAGAUGAAAAAAGUUGAUACCACUAUUUUUCUGUUUUAAAUAUGACGCUCAUUUGCAGAUAUUAAGCUUGAGACUGGUGCUCUUUGGUACUUCUGUUCGUGUUUUCCUUCUGGAUAAAAACUGAAGUCACAUUUGUUCCUUUGAAUGACUAGUUGCAACCAGGUAAAACAUUUAUUAAUCAUUCUUAACUUGCCAAAUAAGAGAAAACUAAACUAAACUCUGCCAAAGGUAACACCUGCUGUUAACCAGCACCGCAACGACAACUGAUUUAUGCAUUGCAUUGGGUUGGUUUGAUGUGAAGUGGUGGCCAAGAAACAGCCAUCUGUAUGCCUUCACAGCCAACUCAAUGUCACUGCUGAUGGGUGUUUGCCAGUUAGCUCCAGUUGGUCCAUUAGCCUUGUUGAAGAAUGGCUGCAAACCAACGACUGCACAGCCUCAGUGACAUUCACAAGUCCUCAUAUCAUUCCUUUUGAAGUCCUACACCAACCUGUUUAGUCCAUUGCCUCACCUCCAUCCUCGUUUCCAGGGACAGGGUUGGCUCCAGUUAGAUGGGCUGUCUUGUGGCCUCAGAGACCAGGGGGCAGGUGUUGUUAUUUCUCUCUAUGUAAAUCGGCUAAGAAGGACAUCAAAGAACCUGGAGUUAAAACUUGAUGCCUUGGGGGGGGGGGGGAUAUACUUCCAGUUGUCCUGCCAGGUGACACUCUGCUGCAUUGCCUGUUUCCAUUUUAUCCUGGGAACCUGCUGUUGCAGAACAAUUGUCCUGCUUACUUGUUAUUCCUCCACAUAAGUGCCCCAUAAGCUUGCACCUAUCCUCCCUGCUGGCUGUGUUAUAUUGGGGGUGAUGUUGUACUCCUUUACACAGUCGUGUGCUGUUCCACAUCCUCAAAAGGAUCUUAUUCUUUGGCAAAGAUUCUGCCUUUCAAACAACCCUCUCUCGUUACAGUAAUCCCUAUACCUGACUGGCGGCAUUUCCACUACCUGAUAUCUGAUGUUAUUUUAUUUUAACAGAUUUAAUAAUUUUAUAUUGCAUUUUUAAAUUGUUUUUAUACUUCUUUUUUCAAUUCAAAUAUAUUUCCUUGCAUCUGUAAAGCACUUUGAAUUGCCUUGUGCAUGAAUGGUGCUAUACAAAUAAACUUACCAUGCCUCCUUAGUGAGCCUUGAUUUAGUGUGAAAGAUUUUUUUAUGUCUGUGCAACUUUGAGUUUAUGUUUCUCUUGCUUUACAUUUCAGAUAAAACAUACAUGAGUAUAUAUCCGCCUUCUUAUCUUGGCAGGAAGGUGAAUAUUUGUGUUCAUUAGAUGUUACAUGGCUUCUUCGAUCACGAAAGAUAAAUAUUCUUACCUGCUGCUAAAUUCACCCUGCACUUAGUCUAACAUUUCUCUUUGCCCAAAAAAUUGGAUGAUUUUAACUCACCGAGACAGAUGCUGAGAUAAAACUGCCUCUGAGUUGUGAGGGAUACACAUGGGCAGAGUUAUGUUCACCACAUGUAACAGAUCUAGAGAUUUCACUGAAGAUUAAACACUCACUCCUAAAAUGGAAGCUGUAAAUUCAAUUUUCCUGUUAAAAUUUAAUCAGCCUAAAAUGUCAAGGAGCUUGCCAUUGAUCACUCAGAAUCUUAUUUUAGCAGAUAUUUGACCAAAAGAAAAAUCCUUCCUCUGAAUUACCAUCGGAGAACAGAUCUAGGAAUCAAAUAUGAAAGUACAUCUGUGUAUUUCAGGAGAAAACGUUUCCAGCAGAUUUCUGUCUGUAUGCAGGACAUAGUUAUUUAAAAUACAUUCAUGACACAUGGACUAAACGGUUAUUAUUACUUUUGAACAGCUCAUAUUUGUUUUAUCUUUGAAGGUUUUAAAAAAAGCAUGCUUUACACACAUUUUGUUAGAAAAUAAAGGACUAUCGUUUUAGAUUAGAUUUGAUUAUAUUAGAUUGGAGUUGGGUUCAGAUCAACUUUUCAAACCACAGGUAUGCCUUACAUUUAUUCAACACACAUAGAAUAUUUCCAUUUAAAGUCAUAAUGCAACCUCAAAAAUAUAUUUUUUUGGCACUAAAAAGUUGAGUUGUUGAGUGUUGGAACAGGCAGAUAUAAAAUAUGAAGUGUUGUCAUAAAUGCAGGUUAAAAGCUGCACAUGGGAAAUGUAACAGAGUAUCUGGGAUCAAAAUGUUAAGAAAACACACAUGUUGUGAUAACAGACACUUUUCUUGCAUGUAUGCUUAUCAACCCACAGCUGUCAUCACGUUCAAAGAAAGAUACGAGUGAUUUAUUUUCCACAGCUUUUACAUGCACUUGGUCUGGGUCAACAAAACACCCACUCUUCCCAUUUUGGUUAUGGUCUGACUCUGAGGAAAACAUGAAAAAGUAUUAUGGGGCAAGGUAAAAUUAGACUGACAUGCAUCAAAGCACUGAUAAAAAAAGAGGAACAUUGCAAGUGAUGCAGUUUUAGGAACAGGAUGUCGAAUCAGGUUUUGCAAAACUUUUUACAAAGUCUACACACUGUUGUGUAGACACUAGGGUUUCUUUAGGGGUGAGUUUGGGGCUGCAAUGUCCAAAAGGGAGGUGUAAUUGUACUGAACAGUGUUAUUCUGAUUCAACAAGUAUGCUUUCUUAAACAAAUACUUGUGAAAGUUGUGGGCUAGGAGGAAUCAAAGGUUUAACAAGGACGAAUUGAAAAUAAUCACCCUUGCUUUGCUUGCAUACCAGUUUCUGGUCAGUUAGACAAAAUAAUAUGAUUUUCAUUAUUGUGGGACCAAAAUACUGGUCUUAAGUUGUAAAGAUCUAGGACCCACCCACCUCUAAAACCAGGCUGUAGCUUUGCUUAAUGGCAACUGCUGUAGUGCUACAAAACUUAACUACCUGUAUGAAAAAAGCAUGGAUAGCAGAUGACUCUGUGCAGCAGUCAUCCACUCCACUUCUUGUGUUUAACUAUGUUAGAUGAAUUGUGCUCAACUGUUUUUUUAAAGGUUUUUUUUUUCUUACCUUUGGACUUAUCAGUCAGGGUCUUAAAUCUAAUGCAUCUAUUCUAACGUCAGGCUGCUGCUGUCUGGAUUAAAUGUGCAGGCAGGGGGGCUGUCAACAAGAAGUUGCAGUAGUCAAUGUAUGAUAUUACAAGAACCUGUACCAUGAGCAGUGUGGUAGAAUGUUAAUUUUGGUGUGUUAGACAGGCUGGUUUGUCAUUAGCCAAGCAAUUAUGGUCAUAUGAACCUUGACAGAGCUUCCCAUUAAUUUUGUAUUUGUAUUUGUUUAUUUAGCACAGAUUAAAAACAGUGCAGGGAGGGAACGAAGCCGAUAGUCUUAUACAAAGUUCCACUCCAGUCAGGACAGAGAAAACAUAAGGUGCAGACAACUAAGUACAUAGACAGGUUACACAUGUACAAUGAUUAGGGAAAGGUCAAACAAGUUGCCAUAAAUGGAACACAGACAAAUCAGCAAACAGUGAUAAAGACAAUAAAGUAUUCAUAAAAAGGAAAGAAACAUGAUCAUAACAAAUAGUGAUGUAUUUAAGACAUAAUUAGUUGAGAUUUUAAUGAUAUUUUAAAGGAGUUAAAGGAUGAUAUUGAUUUCAGAGAUGCAUCAAGAUUAUAAUCAUGGCAUCCAAGUUGCAAGCAGACUUAGCGGGCACGUUCUGUUUAAUCAAGCUGCAUUUCGAUCUGUGGUUGUAUAGGAGAACUGUCUGUAUUACCAAGAGGCUCAUCAGUUUUACCAUCUAAUGGAAAUGACAAGAAGAGCUGUAAAUUUUAGAGCUGUAGGAGAAACCAUGGUAGUGAAUUAAUGAACCAAGCGAGGUGAUGAAUACUGAGGUAAAGAAGAGAACCAAGUUUUGACCUUUGAGGCACUCCUGUUGACAAGCCAUGCAGUUUGGACACUCGUACCCUCUAUGAUAUGCUGUAAGAUUUCCCUGUGAUAGAACAUAAACCACUUUAGGGGCCGAUUUAGAGACACUAAGAUCAGAAAGUGUAGGGAGGGAGAUUUGGUUCAAAGUCAGCUAAUGGAUCCAGCAGCAAUAGAACUGGGACCAGACCAGCAGUUCUAGCCAGCUGCAGUGAUUAUUGACAGAAGUGAACUUUCAGCAGAGUGACCCUGCUGAGAGUCAAGCGUUUUUGGAUCAAAUAGGUCAUUUCUGUACAGGAAUUUAGAGACCUGAUCAAAGAGUGCACAGUCAAGAAUUUUGACAGUAAAGACAGAAGUGAAACUGAUUUGUAGUUUUCAACCUUGGCUGAGUUGAAAGAGGGUUUUUCUGAGCAGUCAGGUAACCUGCACUUGCUUGAAUCAACUAAAUGUGGGCAAAAUAAUGUGGAAGAGACUUGAAGGUAUUGGGUCGAGUGGACAGAUAGAGGGCUAAGUGUCAUGCACCAGAGUUUUAAUAAAAGGAAGCACAGAUUUUUGGAAGCACAGAUCUUGCUUUGUCAGUAUGUGGUAGUAUGUUAUCUUCACGGUCUUCAGAUUGAAACAGAAUGAGGCGUUUGAUGAUUGAGCGACAAAGAGAGAAUGGAGUAAAUUUAGACUGUUCACUGACUUAAAUGACUGACCCUUGCCCUUUUUUCAUCUUGGCUGACUUCAGUGAGUUUAUGACGGCUUGGAUGCCUUCGGGGCACAGUGUCUCUCUCAACAGAGAGUGAGGACAACUCACGAUGAGGAUUUGAAACAUGUUGAUGUAAUCCUGAUAUUCACAGGCAUUCAAGCAACUAGUACUUACAUACAGCGCUCAAGUUUGUUCAAAAUUGAUGUGUUGCCACCAUAGCAACUUUAAGAGCUUAUUUUGCAAAGACAUUUUGUUUUCAAGCUUUUGGCAUGGCUUCAGGGAUGUCAGGGCAAGUCUUUUGUUGACGCACAACUUUAGUCCAGACUGAAAAACUCGACAGCCACUGGAUGGAUUAAGAUAAAUUUUUGUCCAGUGCCUUGAGAAUGUCUGUUGCGUAGAGAUUAACACCUCAAAGACACUUUGGUAGAUAGCUUUGGUGUAUAAACAGUAUUUGUGGACCAAAGGAUUUCGAACUGACUGUCUGAAAUUCCCGGUCGGCUCAGUUGAUGCCUCUCAGAGCUCCAUUACAAAAGGGAAAUCCUCCUGCUCUUUAACAUUCACCGCCUGCAGAUUUCUUAUGAAUGUAGCCUCCAUACUUUUUUAAUUUUACAUGCUCCCAGUCUGAUCAGUAAACACAAUAUCUUAUUUCAUUGGUACAAAACACAGAUAUGACUGAAACCAAGUGAAAUGCCAAGAAAUGUUGCAGUAAUUUACUUUAGACAAUAUGACAAAAUGGGCCACUUCACUGUAUGAAUCAGGUUUAACUUAAAACAUAAUGAAAUGCACUCACUGUGGAGCUUCAGAGGCCACAUGUUUUCUUUUUCUUGUACAAGGCACAGUGUAUGAAAAAGAAACAGUUACCUCUCAUAUUUGUAUUUGUUAGUUUUUGUUCUUUUUAAAUAUGAAACUGUCAUGCUGCCAGUGUGGGAAAAUGUACAUUUUAACAUGAACAAGUACAUUGAGUAAGAAGGACUGUGGUUGGUAAACAACAGUUUUCACCGUUUUAAGAACAGUUAUCCACCAAAAACCACCCUUAGCAGUAAUAAUAUAUUCACCUGUGUAUUGAAAGUUGUAACCAUUACUUUUGCUAGAGUUUUUAAAAUGAAAAAAAAAGGAAAGCUUGAAAGAAGAUAAACUUUCCUGAAAUCUGUUCUAUUCUGAGAUUUCACUCAUGUGAUGUGGAGUUCAAGGUGUAAGCUGCUCAAGGCCAUCUCUGUGCGAUCUUAAACUCUUCCCUAUGUCGAUUAUGUAAUAUACAUUCCCACAUUUCAUAGAGCAGAAUACACCGCUCCAUAUGUCUCUACAACUCCAGUACUUUUUAUCCUGGCUCACACCUUCAUCACAUCUUAUGCAGGCUCAUUCCCUUCUGAUGUAACUUCUUGGACAUAAUGUACACUCUGUCCACACUGUUGUUAUUCUCACCAUGAUUUUGGUCUAUUUGUGUUUAAUGGGAUGCAACUUUUUCAGAUAUUUACGUAUCCCUUGAACUUUUUGAAGUUUACGAAAUGUUUGUGUGUGAGUAAAACUUUUAUUUAUAAUGGUAUUAAUUUGCCUCUGUGUCACCCUGAGUGUCUUUAUUUCCUACUUUGAUGAUUUAAAAAUACUUAUUUUGAAAGGGCACUCAAGGUUCUUCUGCGAGAAAAAUUAUGAUCAUAGAUGGAACAAACUAAGAUAAUAAUAAUGAAAUAAAAUAUAUACUUGCACCUGAGAUCUCUUAUUCUCUUUGUUACCUACAGAGCAGGUGUGGAGAUACUACUCAAAACACAUGUGCCAGGACAAUAGAAGCAGAAGAACUUUAUCGAUCCCUGAAGGGAAAUUCAAUUGUCUGUAGUCUCACGAGUCAACUAGUAAUUAGUGCAGUCCUAUAAUAUCCUUUGUCAGCCUACCCAUGUAAUGUCAACAUGUUAAAAAUACUGACAGUAAAUCCUCAACUGCAAAAUCUCCAUCUUCCUCUUUUCAGGUACAGAUGUAAAAGACGUAAUGAUGUCAAUGAAAGGAAAGAAAAAAGCAAUGCUUAGGCACAAUAUUAAUACUCUUGAACAUAAAACCAGAGAAAAUCAGCAUUAAAAACAAAAGGCUUUCCGAUCCAAUCCAAUCUGCUUUAUUUAUACAGCACAAUUAAAAAAACAUUGAAGUUUACCAAAGUGCUGCACAGUAAAAUUAAAAGAAAAAAAAAAAGAUAAAUUAAAAAAACAUCAAGAGGAAAUAAAUAAAAGCAGGUAAAAAACAUUUAGAAUGAAAAUAAAUGAAAUAAAAUCACAAAAGCAUAAAAAAAGUGAUGAUAAAAUGACUAUAAAAGACAUAAAACGACAGAGAUCGCACAACUCUAAUGCUGAACUAAAAGCCAAGGAAUGAAAAUGAGUGUGUACUGUUCAUAAAAAUGGACCAGCAAGUAUCCACAAGACUGGAAGCCAUACGAUCCAGAGCUCCCCCUGGUGAAUGGCUGCAUUAUAGGUCAUAAACCCCGCCUCCCUAGUGUAAACAGACACAUCUCUUUCAAAUAUGGUUCAUGCCAUGAUAGCAAAUGUGAUGUCAUGAUUGACGGCUCUGUUGAUAACUGCAGGCUAUUGCAGCAAUGUGCUCCAUAUUAGUCAUUGAACUUUCCGUAACAGUGAGUGUCUGCUUCGAAUCAAUUCAAGAAUCAGUUCUGUACUGACCUGAGGGAUCUUAAACAUUUUGUUGGUAAGUGUGGAGAGAAUGUGGGUUUGUGUUGAGGGUGUGAUGCCAGUCUCAUGCCCCUACCAGCCAGGUUGCUUCUACCUGUGCCCGGGUUUCACCAGCCUGAUUUUGUGCACCCAUGGAGUGGAUCUUUUGGUUUUAAGCUUACAAUAUGCAGAACUAAAUCAUUGUGAACCCUAGUCUAGUUAAAAUUAAGGUGUUGCUUGAGCAUCAGGUAAGGCAUGAAAAUAUUUACAUUCCAGUGUUUAUGAAUGACACAAGGGCGAAUGCAGUGUCCCUUAAAUCAAGUUUGACAAGGCUAAACCUCUAAAUGUUUUUACUCAGUGGGAGUAUAACCCCAUGUCAAGUCUAAUUGACCCUAAAUAUACAAAACAGGUUUUAUGAUCACAUCUGUGCGUAAGGUUAAACAGCACAGGAAACUACAGUUUUAACAAACUAUCCAAACAUCUUCUGAUGCUCUGAAGGACCUCUCUACUGCACCUUACCUGGUAGAGAAAUGAAGGUGCCCUUAUUUGACAGACUCACAUCAGAGUUACACUGCUACAAAAAGGACCAAAAGGUAGCAUGCAAGCCUGAUGUUUGCAUACAUGUCAGUGAUUUUCUGUUGAUUGAGCUCAGCUGCAGAUGUUACGGUGCUGCUUGUAUGCUAUCCUCUUAGUGAAAUGCCAAGGGGCCAAUGGUACACACUGUUGUCUUAUGGAUUCCCUGUGGACUUUGGCUCUUAUCUCUGUUACUUGAAAUUGUGUCCAUAUGUUAGAGAGGCUGCUGAAAUGUUCACUUUAAAGCAACAAGAGAUUACAGUUUUCUUAAUGGUGGAAAAAUUUUAGUUCAAGUGUCAGAAGCACAGACUUUCUCUUUCUAUCAUCUGUUAAAACAAUUAAAUUCAGUUUAACUGUUCAGCGCACAGGCUGUUGGAGUGAGUGAAUUUAGUUUUGACAUUAUUAUAACUUGAAUUCACUCAUAAAUCUGUGUUUGUGCUUGCAAAGGCCAACUUUUGCGUAUGAACAUUCAGUCUUUCUUAUGAAAUGAUUUAUUUUGGGUGGCUUGCACAUUGUGGCGUUUUCCCCAUAGAAGACAGGUCAGAUUGAAUAUGAGAUAUUUUUUUGUUGUAACUAAUAAGAUUUACUAUCUUCAACAAACACUUUUGUUCCCAUUGGAGGUUUGGGCCAAGGAUGAGGUUACCUCUUUCCACAAACUGUAAUUUUUUUCCAAAACAUUUCCACUUAAAUUAAAAUCUUAUUUUCUAGGAAAUGAUGUUUUUAAGAAUACAAUCAGACUGCAGGCAAAAGUGGCACACAACCGAUUUAUUUGCUCAUUCUUGAUCCGAUUUGCGACUGUUCAAACAGCAUAAAUCCGUCCAAAUCUAAAUCAUAUGUGGUCCUAAAUCAAAUACAGGUCCAACCACUGUCUUGAUAGCCAGGGCAGAAUGGAUGCGACUCUGACAUCAUUCUAAAUAGUCACCACAGUAAUGCACUAGCGGGACAGACAGAAUUCAAGGUCACUUGCACUCAAAAGCUGUCAAUAAGAAUCUGAAUCUCUUUGCCCUCUGCCCUCUCCUCACUGUUAUCUGUUCAUAAAUUUGCCUGCUUUUGCUCCACAUAAAUUUUGGAAUUAAAUUUUGAAUUGCUAUUGGCAAAUAUAUUUUUUUCCAUUAUCUCAGACAUGUAAUCUUUUUUCACGUACCAUUUCUAAGAAACUGAAGACAUAAUGAACAUCAUUCCACUACUAUUGCCAUGUCCAAGACCGAGACCACACUGCAAUCUGGGACAGGUCACAUUUCAAAAGUAAUGUGGACAUCCCAAAAUAUAAAAAAUUAAAUUAAAUGAAUAAAAAAUUUUAAAAGUGUUUUUUGAGAAAUGAUCCUGAAUUGUGCAGUAAGGUUUAAAGGUAAUACAUCGUCAUAUACUUUUAACUCACACAUGCAGCAGUGCACAUCUACAAUUAAUAUUGUCACAAACCUUGUUAGCAGUUUUGAAAAGCCAUGUUGCAGAUGAAACAAGCUAAAAAACAAGCUAACAAGUGACACCACUUUGAAACCUUACAGUAUAUAGAAAUAAGUGAACUUGAUUUACAGGAAAAUUUUGAAAAUUCCAUAACUCAGAAAUCAUUAAUUGUAGUAUCUAGUUAUACAUUUUCAGUUGCACUGAUUUUCUGGGAUACUUUAAGAGCCCGAUAUGUAACAAUGACCUAAAAUGGCAUAAAAACAAUGCAAUAAAGCCCAAAAUGUAAUAAUUUGUCAAUAAUGUAACAAAAAUGUUGAGCUGUAAAUAUAAUUAAAGAAUGUAACAAAAACCAAAAUGUAAUAAUUUACCCAAAAUGUAACAAUUUGCCACAUUUUUGGCCAAAAGUUAUUACGUUUUGGAUUCAGCAUCUUGUUACAUUAUUGACCAGUUACUACAUUGAAAUUCUAAUGAAAAAAUUUUACUACACUUUUUAAAAUUAGUUUUAUUACACUUCAAUUACAUUUCGGGUCAUUGUUACAUAUUGGGCUUGAACAAGUCUAAUUAUAUUGUGUUAACUAUGGUUCUUGUUUAACCACACUAGAAAAUGUAUCAGUUGCCUAUGACAGAAAGUGUUUGCAGUUCACAAGCUUAUUCUGAAAUGUAAAAAAAAAGAUUCACCAGAGAGAAGUGGUUAGCAUCUGUAAAACAACCUUUAAACAUGUCAGACAUACAACAGACACAUUUAAGUGAAAGAAGAUCAUAUUCUGGAGACAGUGUUUGUUUUGGUUGGCAAUGUUCUCACAAACCGUGUGUUAGUCACGCUAACAUGAUUUAGUUCUGCAUGUGAUUUCUGACCCCUUCCACCACUUCACACAUGCUUCAGGUUAGGAACAGGAGAGUGACUGCUGGUUUAUACCUGUGUGAAUGCACACAAACCACAAGGCAGCUGUACCAACACACUGGUGUCUUAUCCUUGUGUUGGGCUGACCCUCGUGUGCUCAGGAAUCCACGCAGCGGGGUGCCUUAAAACUUACAUCACCAAGUCAAGGGACUGUCACAACAUGCCAAAUAUAUUUCAAAAUGAACUGAUUGAGUAUGAGGAUGCAUAGCCUACAGGCAUCAAGAAUGGCUGAAUCAGUGUCAGAGGGAGUUUAUGUGUGGUCACUGGAUAUGUGCCGCUUUUACCAGUUUCUCUCUGAACCCUUCACUGGGAUACUCAUCUGUUUUUUGUCAAGGUGUUUGUGUAAAGCAAAAUAUUUAAAACACAUUUUCCACUUCUCUAUCUGUUUUCACCCUGAUGGUGCCCACAUGUUAUUUCAGGAGUGUAUUACAAAAAAACAACAAGAGAAUGUUAGGUAUGUUGUGAUUUGAAAAUAAGGUUCACUUUUUAAUCAUAAUUUUAAUAAGAAUCAUUUAGGUGGUGAAAAUAUUUCUUAACAAUCAAUGGGUAUGUGCAAUUUUGUCAUGACACUCUGACAGGACUCUUACCAACAAAAUAGGACCUUCGGGCGUUUGACAUCAAGUUAGACUUCUUUUUCUGUUCAGAUUUAGCCGUUUUAGCUAACCCACAUCAGUGCUUUCCAUUCAUUGUAAACACAAAGGACAGAGUGUAAAGAAGAAUUACUGAGCCGACUGACAAGGCACAGGCCAAGGGGUUAAAGGGGUCAGGGGGACCUUAAGACCAGAGCAUCUGCUCAAAGUGCCUGCUAAUAUUUCAUUUCAGUAAGUCAAUGAAUCAAUGCAAAGUGACAACAUCAGGUUGCAAAACCAGAAUAAAGACAUUGAAAACAACCACAUAGAAAUAACAAAACUACAGGGAGAUACAUACUAUAAAAAAAACUAAAAAUUAAUGCUUAACCACAGAGGCAAAUAAUAGAAAAAAAACAGGGAGAUGCACUGUGUUGGUGUUGAGAGGGGGGAUGGACCCUCUAUCUGUAUUUGCCCAUCUCAAAGGAUGUAGCCAUGAAUUUCUCUGCUGAGCUAUUAGUGACUCAUAGAUGUAAUUAAACAAACAAACUUACGCAAAGAAAGCUCUGCUCUGGGAACACCAGUGAGUCAGCUGAAAGCGUCUUCAGUGUGGGAAAAUUAUGACCGUUGUGUGACCCAAUCAUGCCCACAUGUUUUCAGAUGAGAAAGAAGCUUUACCAGCCUGUUAAUGUGGACAGUAUUUAAGUGGAAAAAAAAAAAAAAAACUCAGCGCUUGGUUUUUAUAUUAUCUUACAGUUGGAGUAGGAGGUAGUAAGUCAUAUAUAUAUAUAUAUAUAUAUAUAUAUAUAUAUGUAUAAAGCCCAAGUGUAAUAUUUGACCAGUUGGCUGCAGUUUGAGAAAGAUGCUUUACUAAGGUCGCUUUCACACCUGACCAAGCGGACUUGGUUUGUUUGGGGAGCUGAAAGUUGCAACAUUUAUCACUUGUUUCGGUUCUGCUUUCACACUAUGAUUUCUAAAGCGCACCAAACUUUGCGAGCAGCAUCACGUGGUUGAAAGGGGCCCUCGUCGAUUGGACAAAGUAGGAGGGGUAUGUAACCUCAUGGAUUACAAACAGGGGUGGACUAGCCGUCUUGUAUCGUGCUUCAUCACAUUAUUUUAUGGAACGCUGCAACGUUAGUGAGCGCAACUGUUCCUAUAAUGCUAUCGUAGCUUGUCAGAGAUUGAUCCUGUUAUUUUUCUAACUUUGACGAUCUAACGUGACGACAUACGAGCUCAGAGUUUAAGGACUGUGACUGUUGGCAGUUGUGACUUGAUUUUGUUUAAAUACGCUAAAUUGUGAAUUUAUGGUUUAUUGUUGUUCAGACAAUUGAGCUAAGCUAGCUAGCAACUGCUAAUGUCAGCGGUUGCUAUGGCAACAAGGUAUGCUGUGCUUCCUCUACCCAAGAUGCACUGCAUAUAGCGUCAUUAUGUACAUUUGGUCCGGUGAGCUUUCACACUGCAUACGAACCGAACCAGGGUUCACUUGCAAGCGAAACCAAGACACGUUUUCAGACGGACCAGAGUUCGCUUGUUUGGUCCGCACCAGAGUUCGGAUGAGCUUUCACACCUCCCCAAACGAAGCAGACUAUCCGAGGAAACGAACUGUGGUCCGUUUAAAGCGGACCAAACAGCUCUGGUGUGAAAGCGACCUUAAUGUAGUUUUAUACAGACCAUACAGAUGCUUACGUUGGUGCAUUUUGGUCUCUGCUGUUUGGAUCCGCUAGUUGCUGAUUUAAUUUGACUACUGCUUUAUGUUCAUUAUAAGGUACUAAAGCAAGAAGCAUCCAACAAUAUUGAAAAAUUCCGCAGAUUUGGAGUGCAAAAAAACUGCAGUUCACUGAGGCUUUACUUGAGGUUGGCUUCAGAUGAUACCAAGGGAUAAACUUAAGUUUAAGCAGUUUUAAAAAGCCUGGUUCAAAAUAUGUUUGGGCUAAAAAGUUCAUUUAUUUAUUUGUGGACACUGUUCUGAUUUGAAGUUAAGAGUUUUAAAUUCACUUGUAUGAUAAGGGCCAUGACUAAGUUGACAGCCAGGUGGGCUUGUUGUAGUCAAGCACCAACUUCUGUUCUUGAAAAAUGGAGCUGUGAUGUGUAAGUGCUAAAAACUUCAGUUCCCAAGUGCCCACUCGUGACUGGCUGCAGAAGCACUAGAAACUACGCUCACACUGAAUCAAAAAAGCCCUCUUUUAGAGCAAAACUAAACACAUUUACAACUUAGCUCAAAAAGCAGCUUUGUAUCACAAAGUGUUUUAAAGUUAUUCAGGAUAAGAGAUCAACGAAUCAGAGGAUUUUAUGACUUGACUGACAAGCAGCCGCACUGUGCAUGAAGUCUACAGAGAGAGCAGCUGAAACAAAGCAUUUUAGAUGUAGGCUAAAAUAAUAGUAUUUCAGUUCACCAGUACGAGAAAGACAAGGCUUAUUUUUAAUCUGAAAACCAUGUAACACUUUUAAAGAGGUAUCAGAAAGGAAAUGUAGAGUGAAAAAAAUACAUGAUACCCCCUUUUUAAAGGGAUAUUCUGUGCAGCAGAGUUUCGCAGCUUAAGGAGGAACAUUUAUGAUCUUUACUUCACAGAAAUGCAAUCAGACCAAGAUGCUAAGGCAGAAGAACUACCGCGUCUGCAGUGCAAAAUGAUAUUUAUGACGAUUAUUACUUCAUGGAAAUGAUCUGCUUCACUCGGUGAUCGACUCGUCAGGGCUCCCCCAUGAACAAGCAGCUGCUGGAAGAGAGUGGGUGAGUUGUCUUUGGUCUCUUUGCUAAAGAAAUCAGGCAAAGCUAAAAAGAUGUUUGGUGGCUAGUACUAUGGCUAGGACCCUAUAUGUACUGAUGAUGGAGUUAGGUGCUGUUCUGAGCAUUAUUUGUGGCUAUAGAGUGGCUUUUUGGUUGAGGUUUGCACGUGGAGUGACAGACCGCCAUGUAUUGCUAUCGUGCAGUCGUUACUAAAGUUGGUAUAACUAGAGAAGCAAGCAGUCGGCAACAUUCAUCUCUCGAGGGGGUGUCUAACUUGACCCUAACUUAAUUUUACAUUGGUAUGUCUCUUUGAGGUAAAUUCUCUCUGAUGUUAUGACUGAAACCUUUUGAAACACAUUCACAGAACAUAUCACAAUUUGUUGAUGAUCAUACUAUUACGUUUUUUUUUUGUGCUGUUUCACUUUAGGUAUGUGCACAACAGCGAAGAGAGCCAAUCCUCUAUAAGGUUUGCCAGCUGCUGCAGUAUAGAAUCAGAGUUCAUAACAACUUAAUGCAAUGCUCAGUAUGUGUUCCUCAAAACAGGAAUUAAUUGGCCUGCGGUGCAUGAUACCAUUCAAUAAUGUAUUACAUAAGAGUUUGACACCUUAUAUUGCUUUACAUGUAAGCAGCUGAUAGGUCAGUGAUGUCCACAAAUGCUCUAGAGUGAAUGAUAAACACUGCCCAGCCAUUUGGCUUUGAGCCAGCCUGAGGCCAAAACAAACGAAGUUUCUGCUCGGGGCCUUGCAGUCACUUAUAGAUGAGUAUGACCAUCCACAAGGACAUGAUUCAGUUUAGUAUUUCUAUGUGAACUUAGCUAGGACAAGUGGUGACAGCUCACACGUAGGCACCAUUCAAUAUUGAGCUAAAUAAAAAUAUGUCUGUCAAUAGCAACACAGUCUUGACGUGGGUGUUGGUGCUGUUCUGGAGUGAAAGUUGUUCCAUGUAUUUUGUCCUAGUUAUUUCGCUCUGUCUCCUUCUCUCUCUGCACACCUGCCCCGGAACUGCAAUCAACACACCUGCCUGCCAUCAAGCUAUCACCACCUCCUACAAGAACCCUGUGCUGCCAGAUUGUUGUGCAGAACUUGAUAAGUCUACGGUCCUCUGUGUGCCGUCCAGGUAUAUUUCGGUUUUCUGCUCACCUGAUUUGCAUUCAUGCUUGUUUUGCCUGCUUCCCCCUCGUCUCAUACCUGUUCUCCCUCCGGUCUGCCAGCCUGUCUCACCACUUCACCACAUCCACCUGCCAGCCACCUUUCGCCUGGGUUACUUUCCAUCUCUCCAGCUCACCCCCAGCUCUCUUCACUACACCUCCUGCCAGAAUUUCUAAUUAACAGCACUUUUACUUUUAUGUCAGGCUAUUUUUGCCAGUACUCUUAUUAUUAAUUUAAGCAAAUACCCAAAUCUUGUCUGACAGCAAGUUCUAGGUUCAUAUAGCGAAAAUACAAGGUGUAGCCGCACAUUGUCAAAUUUACUCGAACUCACUGAUGGUUGGAUUAUCCCUUCAAAGAACUAAGACAUUAAAUAAGGUAUUCAAUUAUUCAACAUGAUGAAAAUCAAGUCUCUUUUGGGCAAUUUUUCAGUUAUACCAUUUGGAUCUAUGGCAAAGGAUCAUCAUUCAAGCGUAGCAUCUACUGAAUGACAAAUUGCUUUGGUCCAUUUAAUAAUUUCUUUAAUGUUUAGAUAGUUGCAUGUAGCCUCUCUUUACCGUCAGCUUAGUUUAUGAGUGCUUUACAUCAAGGCUGUCAGUCUCUGCAGCUGUAGCAGGAAAAAACACAGAUUUAUGUUGUGAUAUUUUAUUCUGUAAGAACCAGUCAUCUGCCAGCAUGACUGCUCAGAUUGCAUCUAUCACUCAAACACAACAAGACAUCUUUCAUGAGGCCUAUUUGGCUGAACGGCUGAACAAUAAUGCAGCACCUGCAAGUCUUCAACUGUCUGUGUCACAUAAAUCAAAAAGAGCAAACGUUUUUUUUUUUUUUUUUAACCCUCCAUGUGAUGUCCGCCUAUUCAUCGUACUCUUGAGGACAAUGAAUCAUUUUCUCCACGAGCAGAACAAAACAUCCUGCUUUUUAAUGGCUGGACAAAAAAGACACGUAGUCGAGUGACGAACAGGCUGAUGUGUUAAGGAUGUUGUAUGGUGAGCUGUGUAAACAGAUUGGAACUGCAAUAGGGUGAGAAGGACUGCAAUAAACAGGAAAUGGAUAACAGAUUUUUAGAUAGUUUUUAAAAAAUUUGAGCUACAUCCAUACUUUAAGUCAACUGUGUAGCUGUUCUUUUUCUCUUCUUUUUUUUUACUGAAGAGUGAAGAAAUCUGUGACAUUUUGUGCUCUUUAAAUGAAGUAAUAUUAAAAUCAUCCCCCAUAUGUUUACCAAUUUAACAUGCCAGUGAAAACUGACAUUUAUUGACCAUAGAUUCAAUAAAGCAGAGGUGAAAUAUGCUCGACUGUUUUCUGCAGAAAAAGUGAGAUAGAGCUGUAUCUGGCAGUGGUAUGCUCUUCUAAGUAACAUUUACUAUCAAAGAAAAUAACCGACUGUUGCUAUGGAGUGUUGACCAAUCAGAACAAAGUAAUUGACUUGGCUUAAAUAACAUAAACUGAUAGGAUACCAAUGUUAGUUAUGAGGCUUUUGGCAACAUAUUAAGACAAAAUAAUGUUUCUAUUUUGAGAACAAGCAGGUCAGAUUAUUCAGCAAACAGAAAAUAUGACGGACCCUAAAUUUGAUAUUGGUAAAUACACAGAGAAGCAUAUUGUAUAUAUAGUUUAUAUAUUUUAUAUCUUUAAACAAACAAACAAAAAACAGCCACUACUUUGCAUCAGUCUGAACAACUAUUUGAGAUGCUUUCUCUAAAGUAAAACUGCAGUAUUUGUUGCUUCAAUAACUUGUAUUUACCUAUAAAACACAUUUUAAGACAAUUUUGAGUUUACUGCAGGAAUCCUUUGUCCAUGUCUUCCUGGGAGACAUGUUGGGAUUUAAUGACAGCCCUAGGGAGAGAGUUAUUUUUGAUAGCUGUUUGUCACGGUUGUGCGAGGAUGUAAACAAGAGUUAAAGCACAGAAAUCAGCACACUGCACCCUGUCUAUUGUGCAUCCAGAGUGAAUGACUCACCGCUUCACCAUGCAUUUUUACCUGUAAAUAUCCCUUCAUUAGUCUAUACAUUAUCUUUGCAGCACAACACCAGCUGCAAGUAUAAUUUACUGAAUCAAGGCAUACCUUUACUACUAAGGAGCAGCUUUUCAUAUGACUGUCUUGUGAAAACAAAUUAGCCUAAAUUCUAAAUUCUUCUAAAUUGAAGUCAAAUAAGAGACCAGCUCAAACAAUGUCGAUGCUAAUAGGUUUGACUCACUGCCUAAUACAAGAUAGCAACAUCCAGACGUUGUUAGGAGAUAUUUGAUUUACAGAGUACAACACAA
Xyrichtys novacula (pearly razorfish) is the source of this 32635-nucleotide non-coding RNA. The record is from the annotation of a GenBank genome assembly. NCBI's taxonomy places the organism in Eukaryota, Metazoa, Chordata, Actinopteri, Labriformes, Labridae.